GUAACAACUGCUACAGAGCAAUUCUCUGCACUGCAGAGCAGCAAGAACUGGCUGAUGAGAUCUCACACAGCCUGCACACUGUCUGUUUGGUGAUCUCCAGGUUUUCCACCAAGGCUGUGUCCCCCAGAAAGUUCCCAGAUGCUGAUGAGAGCCGGAACAACAAAUUAUCCUCCAAGGUUUUCAAGAAGGCAACAAGAAUGCUGAGAAGACAAAGACUUUGAAGCGAGGAGAUUGGUCCCAGCCAAUUUCCUGAGAAGGAAAUUCACACUGUGUAUUAAGUACUGUAACCUACUUGCAACAUCCAGUGGGGUGAGAAAAUCUAUUUGAUUCAACUUCUGCGUUGGCUAAGAGCUUAGGAUAACUGCAAUUUUAUUUUUCUUUCUUAUGUAACUAUCUCGACCUUUAUGCCUA
This 411-nucleotide long non-coding RNA is filed under the name Pelusios castaneus (West African mud turtle). Its description in RNAcentral is "lncRNA (ENSPCEG00000006711.1)". The record is from RNAcentral. Lineage: Eukaryota; Metazoa; Chordata; Testudines; Pelomedusidae.